This is a long non-coding RNA of Vigna unguiculata (cowpea), 741 nucleotides long. RefSeq lists it as uncharacterized. Lineage: Eukaryota; Viridiplantae; Streptophyta; Magnoliopsida; Fabales; Fabaceae. The record is from RefSeq and is a predicted model, not a curated record.
UAUUGGUCUCUAUUGCUUAGUAGAUGGUGUAGCUUGAUUAGAAAAUUUAUUUUUUGAUGUUUCUUUAAUAGGUCACUCUGAAUGUGUUAGUUUUGUAAAAAGAUUCAAUUUGACGUUGUUGGUCACUGGAGGUGGGGGAUACACAAAAGAAAAUGUUGCUCGAUGGUGGACUGUUGAAAUAGGACUUCUUCUAGAUGCAGAGCUUGAAUUAUGGCAUGUUAUACCAAGAUUUUAUUUUCUUUCAUUAAUGGGAUUGGAUAUUUAUUACUACUUUGCAAUAAUAAAUAUAUAGAUCAAUUGCUAAUUUCCCUUUGACAAUGGCCUUCCCUGCUUAUAUGUCAUUCCAGUGAUGUCUUGGAUUUGGCUUGAUCUAAUUCAGAUAUUUUCCGUUCAUCUUCUAUGGAUAAAACUGCUCGCUUGUGGAAAAUUGAUUGUAGUCAAUGUGCUCCAUUGAUGGUAAGGUUCGAAUAUAGGGAUACAUGAAGAGCGAAUCAUUGACUCUGCAAAUAUACGAGAUCGCAUAAGUGUUAUAAGUUACAAAGAAGAUGGGAAAGAAUGUCAUGAAUUCUUGACGGAAUCUUUUCUUGGCUUUGGGUAUCAUUACAUAUUUUGACACUGGAAAUUCAUGUCUAUGAGAUUGAUGAACCAUUGGUCAUUUACACAUGCAGGGAUUUUUAGUUGGUUCUGUUACAGACACUUAUGGUUUUUAUGUUGCUUCAGGUACGUACCUUUUGAGUUACC